UGGCUCAGAGUGAACGCUGGCGGCAGGCCUAAUACAUGCAAGUCGAACGGCAGCACAGCAGAGCUUGCUCUGUGGGUGGCGAGUGGCGGACGGGUGAGGAAUACGUGGGAAUCUGCCCAGUCGUGGGGGAUAACGUAGGGAAACUUACGCUAAUACCGCAUGCGCCCUUCGGGGGAAAGCCGGGGACCUUCGGGCCUGGCGCGAUUGGAUGAGCCCACGUCGGAUUAGCUAGUUGGCGGGUAAAGGCCCACCAAGGCGACGAUCCGUAGCUGGUCUGAGAGGAUGAUCAACCACACUGGAACUGAGACACGGUCCAGACUCCUACGGGAGGCAGCAGUAGGGAAUAUUGGACAAUGGGCGCAAGCCUGAUCCAGCCAUGCCGCGUGAGUGAAGAAGGCCCUCGGGUUGUAAAGCUCUUUUGUCCGGAAAGAAAAGCGCCGGGUUAAUACCCUGGUGUCCUGACGGUACCGGAAGAAUAAGCACCGGCUAACUUCGUG
RNAcentral lists this ribosomal RNA (497 nucleotides) under uncultured bacterium. RNAcentral's name for it is "bacterial SSU rRNA". It matches the Rfam family "Bacterial small subunit ribosomal RNA", at positions 20 to 507 of the family's 1533-position model. The record is from RNAcentral.